GCAGCCGCGGUAAUACGGAAGGUGCAAGCGUUGUUCGGAAUUACUGGGCGUAAAGCGCGCGUAGGCGGUGAUCCAUGUCAGGGGUGAAAUCCCGGGGCUCAACUCCGGAAUUGCCUUUGAAACGGGAUCGCUAGAGUCCGAGAGAGGAUGGCGGAAUUCCUAGUGUAGAGGUGAAAUUCGUAGAUAUUAGGAAGAACACCGGUGGCGAAGGCGGCCAUCUGGCUCGGUACUGACGCUCAGGCGCGAAAGCGUGGGGAGCAAA
This 262-nucleotide ribosomal RNA is filed under the name uncultured bacterium. RNAcentral describes it as "partial 16S ribosomal RNA". It matches the Rfam family "Bacterial small subunit ribosomal RNA", at positions 511 to 772 of the family's 1533-position model. The record is from RNAcentral.